Long non-coding RNA from Papilio machaon (common yellow swallowtail), 301 nucleotides. RefSeq lists it as uncharacterized. Lineage: Eukaryota; Metazoa; Arthropoda; Insecta; Lepidoptera; Papilionidae. The record is from RefSeq and is a predicted model, not a curated record. The transcript has 4 exons.
UCGCCACAGUGGAUCUGCAGCCUCACUAUAGUCAGUUAAAACUGAAGCUUGCUUCCGCUUCACUACGUCAUUAUCGACGAUCGGAGAGCGAUGAAUGGGAAGCCGGAGCUAUGGGAGGCCGAGUGCUUGAAGCUCGGGAGCCUCUCGACUCCAAACAAGACAACCAUUUCCUAGCCCUCACUGUAACGCAAGCAAAGAUAUCUAAUUUACCAGCCAGUUGGAGAGAAGAGCUACAUCCUAAGUUAUUGGAGCAAAAAUCUCAAGGGGCGGACAGUAUGUGGGAGGUGUAUGUGACACUGGC